UGUUUUGGGGCCGUCUGGUAUCCGGCCCUUGAGAGGGGGGUUCUGUAACGGUCUAAUAGUUAGGAUUUUGUAAGUGUUUUCUGUUAACUGUUAGAUCUCUGUUGUUUUCAUGUGUGCACUCUGUUUCUCCUUGUGUGUUCUGUUUCCUGUUUUAUUUUGUAGUCUCUCCUUCCUUGUGUGUUGUUUCCAGCUUCUCGUGUGUCACUUCCUGUCUCGGUGAUUGUCUUUCCCAGUCCUCAUGUGUUGCACCUGUGGCUAGUUACCCCAGCCUUCCCUGUGUCUCUAUUUAAGCCUCUGUGUUCCCCAAGCCCUUGGUCGGUUUGUUUGUUGUUCUACACAUUUCUAGACGUCGUGAGAUAUGGAAAUCCCUUGUUGAUGCCUUGCUCGAUUUGGUGUGCUAAACUAGAGAAGGUGUGGCGUUCACCUUAAACCUGGCUGGCUGGAGGACCACACCAAACUUGCCUUCCAGACUGGGCAGAGAGUGGCCUGAUGGUACAGAGAGGGUGAAGUGCUGUAGGAUCCAAGAAAGGAAGAGGAAGAGCUCCAUCUUGGCCAAGGCCUCACCCAGACAGACUCUGACCCCUGCACCAAAUGGCAGGUAGCUGGACGACGGAAUGAUCAGACCUGUGCCUUCAUUGUUUAAGAACCGACCUGCAAAGGGAGAAUUCUGGGGUUAGAAUCAACAUUCCUCAUACCAACAGCAGUGUUUGAUGUUCUUGGGUGAUCAUAUUUUGGGUCUUUGUAAGAAAUACUUAAUUGUCUAAGAAUCAUGCAACCAUGCCAUCUUGCAGGGCCAGUUAUUAAAAGUCAUCUAGGUAUUCA
Long non-coding RNA from Pleuronectes platessa (European plaice), 822 nucleotides. RefSeq lists it as uncharacterized. NCBI's taxonomy places the organism in Eukaryota, Metazoa, Chordata, Actinopteri, Pleuronectiformes, Pleuronectidae. The transcript has 3 exons. The record is from RefSeq and is a predicted model, not a curated record.